CGGGAAACUGGGGAUAAUACCGCCUAAGUUCCACGGAGGAAAGCGGGGGAUCUUCGGACCUCGCGCCAUUAGAUGAGCCCAAGUCCGAUUAGCUAGUUGGCCGGGUAAAGGCCUAACACGGCGACGAUCGGUAGCUGGUCUGAGAGGACGAUCAGCCACACUGGGACUGAGACACGGCCCCGACUCCUACGGGAGGCAGCAGUGGGGAAUAUUGGACAAUGGGCGCAAGCCUGAUCCAGCAAUGCCGCGUGUGUGAAGAAGGCCUGCGGGUUGUAAAGCACUUUAAGCAGGAAAGAAGGGGUGGAAGUUAAUACCUUUCAUCAUUGACGUUACCUGCAGAAUAAGCACCGGCUAACUCCGUGCCAGCCGCCGCGGUAACA
Molecule: ribosomal RNA, 380 nt
Filed under: uncultured bacterium
Lineage: Bacteria
Description: partial 16S ribosomal RNA
Rfam family: Bacterial small subunit ribosomal RNA
Source: RNAcentral